AUUGGAAUAGCUGGGUCAAAGAAUGGUUCCAUUCCAGUUUUUUGAGGAAUCUCCAUACUACUUUCCAGAGUGGUUGCACCAACAUUCAGUCCCACCAGCAAU
Molecule: microRNA precursor, 102 nt
Filed under: Marmota monax (woodchuck)
Lineage: Eukaryota; Metazoa; Chordata; Mammalia; Rodentia; Sciuridae
Source: RNAcentral